GGGUGGGGUAGAGGCGCGGGGAUCCAAGAGUAUUAUCUGGGAAAUCGGGGAGAUUGAUGAUCAGGUAAGAAAGGGGACACCGCCGAAGCCGGUGCCUUCCUCAGGGCAUUGAGCUGGGCCGUCAGUGAAUAACUGCCGGACUGUCACCGUAUGUACCCUGACAUGCGGUGGAGAACUAUCUCACAA
Molecule: non-coding RNA, 186 nt
Filed under: Dethiobacter alkaliphilus
Lineage: Bacteria; Bacillati; Bacillota; Dethiobacteria; Dethiobacterales; Dethiobacteraceae
Also listed under: 1 other name
Description: Lysine sequence
Rfam family: Lysine riboswitch aptamer
About the family: Riboswitches are metabolite binding domains within certain messenger RNAs that serve as precision sensors for their corresponding targets. Allosteric rearrangement of mRNA structure is mediated by ligand binding, and this results in modulation of gene expression.
Source: RNAcentral